This is a long non-coding RNA of Bos taurus (domestic cattle), 394 nucleotides long. NCBI's taxonomy places the organism in Eukaryota, Metazoa, Chordata, Mammalia, Artiodactyla, Bovidae. The record is from Ensembl.
GCUUAAUAUAUUUACAUCUCACAUUAGCACUUUGCCUGUAUUACCUCCAUUUUAUAGAUGAAAGGCAAGUGAGAAGAAACUUGCCUACGUUUACAUACCUAAGAAGCAGCAGAGCUGGGAUUCAGGUCCAGGCACUGGAGCUCAUCACCAUUUCAGAGUACUGUAGUUUGGUUACAUUGUUUCCCAUCUUGAAGGUCUUGGCUUCUUCCAGAUUGCCUGCUAAUGUUGUAGUUGUCCAGCCAAGAGUCCAAAGAGCCAGAAAACAGGGAGAGACACCAGUGGUUUAUCCGAUGGGGAAUCUUACAGGGCUGAAACCAAAGGGCCCAGCAACAACACUGAUGGCUGACGCUAUUGAGGGGGAGGAGUCUACCAUUGAUAGGGGGAAUUGACUUCC